RNAcentral lists this ribosomal RNA (441 nucleotides) under uncultured soil bacterium. RNAcentral's name for it is "bacterial SSU rRNA". It matches the Rfam family "Bacterial small subunit ribosomal RNA", at positions 26 to 517 of the family's 1533-position model. The record is from RNAcentral.
AGAGCGAACGCUGGCGGCAGGCCUAACACAUGCAAGUCGAACGGACCCUUCGGGGUUAGUGGCGGACGGGUGAGUAACACGUGGGAACGUGCCUUUAGGUUCGGAAUAGCUCCUGGAAACGGGCGGUAAUGCCGAAUGUGCCCUUCGGGGGAAAGAUUUAUCGCCUUUAGAGCGGCCCGCGUCUGAUUAGCUAGUUGGUGAGGUAAAGGCUCACCAAGGCUACGAUCAGUAGCUGGUCUGAGAGGAUGACCAGCCACAUUGGGACUGAGACACGGCCCAAACUCCUACGGGAGGCAGCAGUGGGGAAUCUUGCGCAAUGGGCGAAAGCCUGACGCAGCCAUGCCGCGUGAAUGAUGAAGGUCUAGGAUUGUAAAAUUCUUCAGUAGGACGAUAAUGACGGUACUACAGAAGAAGCCCCGGCUAACUUCGUGCCAGCAGCCG